AAAACGAGAUCCCGAAUGCAUUUCCCUUGAAAAGUCCCAGCGCGUCUGUGAGUGACUCGCAUCGAGAGUGCCGCAUAGAGAGAGGAAAAAAAAAACGAUCCAAAGCGAAGAAACGGCAAUGGUGAAUGGUGAUUGACUGUUCUCUUCUGAUUCAUGAUCAUGUUCUCAGUCCUUCUUCAUGAGAAGAAGUGAUAGCUUAGCGAAACUAUAUGGAGCUGGGGUGAAGACACUGGAUGCAGCGGUUCAUCGAUCUCUUCCUGAUUUUUUGUGUGGGAAAACACAAAGCAUGAAUUGGUCGAUAAACCUCUGCAUCCAAUGCUUACUUGGUCUCUUUCAGUAUUUUCGGUGCCAUCAGUUUGGUCGCCUUGCCGAGCUUAGUUUUCUUGCUUUUAUCUCCGUUUCAGCAGUUUCAAGUUGUUUCUUGUCGAGAAAUUCUUAUUAUUUUCUUGGAACUUAUUGCUUGAUUUCCAAUAACAUUGCUGUAUGGCCUUUUAAUGAUCGAUUCGCCAGUUGCUGUCCUGUCGAUUACCGUUUAAAAAUUUACAUGUUUCAGCUUCCAGCUUGCAUAUGUCAUCAUGCAUUAUAAUAUCAUUCAUGGCUGAUUUUCAUUGUAGGAGAUAUGCAUGAUCUGUAACUAUAGGUUAGAUGAACUGACCUCCCCCGAUGUUGCCGAUAGUACUGCGGCUGCCGACAUUCCCAUUUUGUGAUGCUCUUAGGCUGGCAAACUAGAUCUUAUAUUAAGUGGGGUAGUUCAUGAUCUAUCGCAUUUAUCCUGUUAAGUUUUGAGAGAAUAUUCUUAGGCGGAUUUCUACUUUAAUUUUACUUUCGGUGUUCAUGUCCUUCACUCUCCUGCUCUCAAGCCUCUCAGCAAGAAAAUAGCAUUCUCGCAGCUCACUUUUUAUCAUCUAUAUAGCCCCAUUGGAACAUUGCUGAGAUGGUAAAGCCUCUUACCAAUUGAUAAGAAGUUUUCAAUUGGUGGGUUAAUCAAGAACGGCUAGUACAUCCCUUUUUAAUCUAUUUCUUACAAGUAUAUGUGAAUUUAGGGUAAUCGUGUUUAAUUGUGUUCUUACCUGUCUGAAGCACCAUUUUGAUGAUUUUUUUUGUUCUUGAAAUUGUCCCGCUUUCAUUUCCCCCCUGUUCAAGUGUAAAAUAUAAAAUAUCAGUCUUUAUUCGAGCUUCGAGGCAUCGUUGGUUGCAGAUCAGGCAUACUUAAUAUGUUUCAUAUCAUAUUGGUGCCGCCUCUUUUUAUGUGGUGCAUGUUUCAUGCAGAGACUUUUUCAUUUUUUGAUUAAUUGCCCCAAAUGCUGGUUUGAAAUGUGAUGUAAUCAACCAGAAAGUUUAUCUCCAUUCAGUUAUGAAAUUUGGAGCUCCUUAUUGGAUUGUAGAGCUUUCUUAACAUGGUCAUGGAGCCAUGGGUGUGAAAUGCUAAUUGCCAUCGGCAAGUCAUUUUCUUCAUUUCUUAAGCAUAUAUAGAUGGUUUGAAGGUCCCUGCUUGUUGCUUUCUUGUAAAGGAAAAGGUAUCUUUGGAAAGCAGGAUUUCCUCCAAGGGGUAGGUCAGGUGUAGGCCGGGCCUACCGAACAAUAUUAAACAUUACGACUGAGAAGGAAGGCUACAGUGGAUGGAGUACAACUUGCUGGGGAAUCUUGUUGCUAAUGAUGUUUACGGGAAUCUGGAUCAAAUUCUCCUGAGUUAAUCAUAUCUAAUCCUACUAAGGCUCGGUUUGGAUCAGUUGUUGCGUGGAAUUAAUAGAACUCAUUGAAGAACUUAUAAACUGUUCGUAUUUUGGUAAUCAA
Long non-coding RNA from Prosopis cineraria, 1794 nucleotides. RefSeq lists it as uncharacterized. NCBI's taxonomy places the organism in Eukaryota, Viridiplantae, Streptophyta, Magnoliopsida, Fabales, Fabaceae. The transcript has 2 exons. The record is from RefSeq and is a predicted model, not a curated record.